Molecule: long non-coding RNA, 974 nt
Organism: Tetranychus urticae (two-spotted spider mite)
Lineage: Eukaryota; Metazoa; Arthropoda; Arachnida; Trombidiformes; Tetranychidae
Source: RefSeq, a predicted model, not a curated record
AGAUUAAAAUCAGCAAACAAAAGGAUAAGCCUCAAACAAAGUAUCCGAUAUCCAACAAUGAUAUGUGAUAUUUUUGUUUUGAUUUUUCUUGAAAGACACACCUUUAAGUAUGCGUCAUCGUGUGAAGGCAAUGAUUUCUUUCGUUUGAAAAUCUUAGGAAUGCAAAGAUGUAACCCAGACCAGGUAAUUGAUAAAAGCCUACAUCUUUAUCUCCCGAGGAAAAUUUAUUCCUGUUGCUGGCCAGGUUAAAAGGCUUGUGUCUCAAUUUUUACCCGAGAUCAUGUUUAUUAUUCAUUAUUAGUCAAAAAUAAUGUUGAGAUAUAAAUCCUUUGUAUACCAGGUAUUAUUCAGCUAUGCUGUUGAUGAUGUUUCUUUCACUUAAAUCCUGAGAUCGUGACGGCCGCAUUUACUCAUCAAUUUGGAUUGCUCUUUUGUUUCAAAACAAAAUUUCAAAACAAGCAUUGAGUGAUUUGCUAAUUUUUCAACGAUUCCGAGUUUGUUGGCUUUAGUAAGGUGAUUGAAUUAACCAUGAUUAAUCUCAAUAUUAAAGAUCGUGGUUUGUUGAUUAGGAAAUUUGUCAAUUAGAGCUUGAUAAAUAUGUUUGCUCAAAUCUGUUUAUCUUCAUGUCUUCUGCAUGUUAAGAAAAUUGAAAAUUGUUUAUCACGCUGGUCAUUCACAGUUAUCUUGAUAUCGACUCUUCAAAAUACAGUUUUAUAGAGUUCAAAAUAUUGAUUUAAUUUUCCACUAUUGAUUUUGUAUUACUAAUUGUCUGCGGCAAGUUUAUCCGUUUUUCAAAGUAUAACAUGGACUGAAUACGUGUCAUAUUUUUAAUCAAGUUUUCACUAUUCAUCUUAUGAAUACGAUUUAAAUUUUGAACCAUUUAUCCAUCAAUUUUUAAACUUAACUAAUUUUCUCAUAAACAGUUUAAUCAGCAACAAAAAUUUGAUUGCUAUUAAAUCAUAUUUUAUUUUUGA